This 253-nucleotide ribosomal RNA is filed under the name uncultured bacterium. Its description in RNAcentral is "partial 16S ribosomal RNA". It matches the Rfam family "Bacterial small subunit ribosomal RNA", at positions 524 to 776 of the family's 1533-position model. The record is from RNAcentral.
UACGGAGGGUGCAAGCGUUGUCCGGAAUCACUGGGCGUAAAGGGCGCGUAGGCGGCUCAUGAAGGCUGUGGUGAAAGUCCGGGGCUCAACCUCGGAUCGGCCGUGGCGACUCGUGGGCUGGAGCACUGUAGAGGCGGGUGGAAUUCCGGGUGUAGCGGUGGAAUGCGUAGAGAUCCGGAAGAACACCAGUGGCGAAGGCGGCCCGCUGGGCAGUGGCUGACGCUGAGGCGCGACAGCGUGGGGAGCGAUCCGG